UACGAAGGGGGCUAGCGUUGCUCGGAAUUACUGGGCGUAAAGCGCACGUAGGCGGACUGUUAAGUCGGGGGUGAAAUCCUGGGGCUCAACCUCAGAAUUGCCUCCGAUACUGGCAGUCUCGAGUGCGGGAGAGGUGAGUGGAAUUCCCAGUGUAGAGGUGAAACUCGUAGAUAUUGGGAAGAACACCAGUGGCGAAGGCAGCUCGCUGGGACGUUACUGACGCUGAGACGCGAAAGCGUGGGGAGCAAACAGG
This 253-nucleotide ribosomal RNA is filed under the name uncultured bacterium. RNAcentral's name for it is "partial 16S ribosomal RNA". It matches the Rfam family "Bacterial small subunit ribosomal RNA", at positions 524 to 776 of the family's 1533-position model. The record is from RNAcentral.